Molecule: ribosomal RNA, 394 nt
Filed under: uncultured bacterium
Lineage: Bacteria
Description: bacterial SSU rRNA
Rfam family: Bacterial small subunit ribosomal RNA
Source: RNAcentral
GACGAACGCUGGCGGCGCGCUUAACACAUGCAAGUCGAGCGAGAACCGGGGCUUCGGCUCCGGGGAAAGCGGCGAACGGGUGAGUAACACGUGGGUAACCCACCCUUGGUAUCCGGAUAGCCCGGGGAAACCCGGAUUAAUACGGAAUGGCCCAACAGCCUCUCGGGGCGGUUGGAAAAGGUAGCUUCGGCCUCCGACCAAGGACGGGCCCGCGGCGGAUUAGCUUGUUGGUGCGGGUAACGGCCCACCAAGGCGACGAUCCGUAGCUGGUCGAGAGGACGAUCAGCCACACUGGGACUGAGACACGGCCCAGACUCCUACGGGAGGCAGCAGUGGGGAAUCUUGCGCAACGGGCGAAAGCCUGACGCAGCGACGCCGCGUGGGGGAAGGAAGG